Molecule: ribosomal RNA, 255 nt
Filed under: uncultured bacterium
Lineage: Bacteria
Description: partial 16S ribosomal RNA
Rfam family: Bacterial small subunit ribosomal RNA
Source: RNAcentral
GACAGAGGGGGCAAGCGUUGCUCGGAAUUACUGGGCGUAAAGGGCUCGUAGGUGGCCAACUAAGUCAGACGUGAAAUCCCUCGGCUUAACCGGGGAACUGCGUCUGAUACUGGUUGGCUUGAGUUUGGGAGAGGGACGCGGAAUUCCAGGUGUAGCGGUGAAAUGCGUAGAUAUCUGGAGGAACACCGGUGGCGAAGGCGGCAUCCUGGACCAAUAUUGACGCUGAGGAGCGAAAGCCAGGGGAGCAAAGCGGGG